UUGAAAGGGAAACGAUUGAAGUCAGUCGUACCGACGGAGGAUCAACCUUUGAAAGGGGUCGAGGUAUUCGAGGAGUUUAAAAGCCCUCUUGCGCUCACGUACUUCGUUUUCUUUGGUGCACUUCUUCGUAUGGUAGGUUAACAUCAAUUUUGGACGUUACAAAAUGAUCGGGGGAAUGUAGCUUCGAUUUUUUCGAAGUGUUAUAGACCUUGGUAGAUGUGACGACCGGGAUUGAGGAUUGCAACGAAUGCUUUCGGGCUAUCCGUCUGACCUCUGGUGGUUGCUUUGGGGUCGAAAGCGUGCUUACGGCUUUAAAGUUGGCUAUCAAAAGGCUAGAACGUGAUUAAAUUCGUUAAGGAUGUUGACGUA
RNAcentral lists this ribosomal RNA (369 nucleotides) under uncultured Glomeromycotina. Its description in RNAcentral is "LSU rRNA". The record is from RNAcentral. Lineage: Eukaryota; Fungi; Glomeromycota.